UGAGGUAGUAGAUUGAAUAGUUGUGGGGUCUGAGUCCUCUCUCUGAGAUAACUAUACAAUCUACUGUCUUUC
This 72-nucleotide microRNA precursor is filed under the name Monopterus albus (swamp eel). RNAcentral's name for it is "Mal-Let-7-P2a4b_pre stem-loop". It matches the Rfam family "let-7 microRNA precursor family", at positions 7 to 78 of the family's 84-position model. From Rfam's summary of the family: This family represents the microRNAs (miRNA) let-7 and mir-98. let-7 was identified from a study of developmental timing in C. elegans, and was later shown to be part of a much larger class of non-coding RNAs termed miRNAs. The extents of the hairpin precursors are not generally known and are estimated based on hairpin prediction. The products are thought to have regulatory roles through complementarity to mRNA. The record is from RNAcentral. Lineage: Eukaryota; Metazoa; Chordata; Actinopteri; Synbranchiformes; Synbranchidae.